UGAGGCGGUUUGAUGGAAACUCCCCUUAAAAGUUUGAAUCAAAGACCAUCAGACAUCUUGCUGUGCUUAUUAACACGCUGCAUGGGCUUAAUCUAAUACACCAACACCUCUAUUAAUUUAUAUAUUUUUUAUAACUAGAAACUGAUAGUAAAUAAAUAAACAACGUAAUAAUGGAACGGAUUAUUGUUUUUUUUUGUUUUUUGUUUUUUUUUGUUUUUUUCCGGUGAUAAAUUCCAAACACACAACGCCCUCUUAUUCCAUGACACUUGGGAAGUUUCGUGUGUUUGGUUGUUACCUCAUCGUGACACAGUGGACAGAAAUAAACGCCGGCGUGUGAUAACAGGUGUUUUCCAUGACAGGACGCCACCUGAUAACAGCGGCGCACCUGCUCCUCUCUCAUCUUCAAGAAGAGGAUCCUCUUCUGCUCCUCGCUGAGGGCCUCCAGCACCUCGGGGUCCACCCACAUGUCCUCAAGGAUUUUUGCCAGCAUCUUGCCUCUUUUCCCCCGGGUUGCCAGAGACAACUGUCAGCCCCUCUGCCUCUCAGUCCAAUGGGUCGUGUUUCAGCAGUGGGAAUGUGUGGUGUUCAUGCAAGAAUGGAGAAAAAUAAAUGUUGUGGAACAAGGCCGUUACUUUACUGAUGGUGCCCCAGAUCUCAAAUGUCAGCCUCGUCCCAGAUGCAAUACAUUAACAGAACGCUGCUUUUUGAUGGUGGCAACAGCUAUCCACGUUGAACAGCUGUUAAUGUAACAUCCACAGGUUUGCAUUCAACAACCUGACAGCCAUCUACGAUGAACAUUAAAGAAGCAGUGUGACACCAAUACGCCAACUAGCACCUCUGAAGAUCACCAUUUAAUAUGUAA
Long non-coding RNA from Acanthopagrus latus (yellowfin seabream), 862 nucleotides. RefSeq lists it as uncharacterized. The record is from RefSeq and is a predicted model, not a curated record. NCBI's taxonomy places the organism in Eukaryota, Metazoa, Chordata, Actinopteri, Spariformes, Sparidae. The transcript is spliced from 3 exons.